This 728-nucleotide long non-coding RNA is filed under the name Mustela putorius furo (domestic ferret). RNAcentral's name for it is "lncRNA (ENSMPUG00000023989.1)". Lineage: Eukaryota; Metazoa; Chordata; Mammalia; Carnivora; Mustelidae. The record is from RNAcentral.
CUCCACUCAAAGGACAGUAUAGUGGAGAAGAAGCUGGAGAAGGAAAAGACAGCAUCUUUUUUUUUUUUAAAGAUUUUAUUUUUAUUUGAUAGAGACACAGCGAGAGAGGGAACACAAGCAGAGGGAGAGGGAGAAGCAGGCUUCCUGUUGAGCAGAGAGCCCAAUGGAGGGCUCGAUCCCAGGACCCUGGGAUCAUGACCUGAGCCAAAGACAGAUGCAUAAUGACCAAGCCACCCAGUUCUAUAGAGGAGAAGAAACCAGUGCAAUGAUAUGUAACAGGAGAAAAUGAUCCAGCUUUGGAGAAAAGGAAGAUAUCAGGGAGGGCUUCCCGGAGGAAGUCACAUUAAGCUGCCCCUAAAAGGAUGAUCUGGGACAGAUCCGGUUGAGACAGGAAGAAAAAGGAUUGCAGCCCCCCAAUGUAGAAUGUACAGGAAGAAUUUCUCACUUUUUAAAGAAAUGGGAAGAUGGUCAUGUGGCUGGAACCCGGAGACCACAAGAGACAAAGACAAGAGGAAGCUAGAGCGGUAGAUGGGGGACAGAUCUUCUAAGGCCUAGAAAGCCAGUGAGUAUAAAUAUGAAUAUUUUAAUUCCAGCAUCAGUGUGAAGCACUAUGGAUCAAACCUUUCAGUUUCAAGGUAAGAUUAAAGCGAGUUCUUGGUUUGGAAAACAAAAUGGAUUCUACCCUGAUCCACAUGGCUAUUACUGAAGUUUACAUGCUUAAAAAUUCC